Molecule: non-coding RNA, 445 nt
Filed under: Pongo abelii (Sumatran orangutan)
Lineage: Eukaryota; Metazoa; Chordata; Mammalia; Primates; Hominidae
Source: RNAcentral
CGGCCGGCGUGGAUUAUUCCCCUCUCGGGAGAGAGGUCUGCAGCCGGGCCUCAGUGCUUCAGUUCGUGGCCUGGCAUUUUGUGAAGAGUGUCUUCAUCUCUGCAUCCCUAGUGCAACAGAGCAUGAUAAAAAUUCAAUAAAUAUUUAUUGCAGAGUCUUGAUGUCUUUUGGGAAAGGAACUCUAUGGUUACCUUUACUCUAAGAUUAGAAGGGUGUUACUGAUUCUUACCUCAGAGAAGAGAAUGUCAUGGAGACAAAAUGACCUGCUUAGAGUUCUGCGCCCCCCAGCAUGGAGAGCAGAGCGCAAAGAUUUCCUCCAGACUCCCACAUUCUCCCUUGGAAUCCAAGAACUUGUCUACUAUCACAACACUUUAGUACCCACUUCUCCUAAGGAGGCAGCAGAAACCAAGGUAAUCACAAUGGUCAACAGCAGCGAAGGCAGCAC